CCGAAAGGCGUAGUCGAUGGGAAACAGGUUAAUAUUCCUGUACUUGGUGUUACUGCGAAGGGGGGACGGAGAAGGCUAUGUUGGCCGGGCGACGGUUGUCCCGGUUUAAGCGUGUAGGCUGGUUUUCCAGGCAAAUCCGGAAAAUCAAGGCUGAGGCGUGAUGACGAGGCACUACGGUGCUGAAGCAACAAAUGCCCUGCUUCCAGGAAAAGCCUCUAAGCAUCAGGUAACAUCAAAUCGUACCCCAAACCGACACAGGUGGUCAGGUAGAGAAUACCAAGGCGCUUGAGAGAACUCGGGU
This 301-nucleotide ribosomal RNA is filed under the name Escherichia coli. RNAcentral describes it as "partial 23S ribosomal RNA". It matches the Rfam family "Bacterial large subunit ribosomal RNA", at positions 1402 to 1705 of the family's 2925-position model. The record is from RNAcentral. Lineage: Bacteria; Pseudomonadati; Pseudomonadota; Gammaproteobacteria; Enterobacterales; Enterobacteriaceae.